This 496-nucleotide ribosomal RNA is filed under the name uncultured bacterium. Its description in RNAcentral is "partial 16S ribosomal RNA". It matches the Rfam family "Bacterial small subunit ribosomal RNA", at positions 29 to 507 of the family's 1533-position model. The record is from RNAcentral.
AUGAACGCUGGCGGCGUGCCUCAUACAUGCAAGUCGCGCGAACAGACGAGGAGCUUGCUCCUCUGACGUUAGCGGCGGACGGGUGAGUAACACGUGGAUAACCUACCUAUAAGACUGGGAUAACUUCGGGAAACCGGAGCUAAUACCGGAUAAUAUGUUGAACCGCAUGGUUCAAUAGUGAAAGACGGUUUUGCUGUCACUUAUAGAUGGAUCCGCGCCGCAUUAGCUAGUUGGUAAGGUAACGGCUUACCAAGGCGACGAUGCGUAGCCGACCUGAGAGGGUGAUCGGCCACACUGGAACUGAGACACGGUCCAGACUCCUACGGGAGGCAGCAGUAGGGAAUCUUCCGCAAUGGGCGAAAGCCUGACGGAGCAACGCCGCGUGAGUGAUGAAGGUCUUCGGAUCGUAAAACUCUGUUAUUAGGGAAGAACAAAUGUGUAAGUAACUAUGCACGUCUUGACGGUACCUAAUCAGAAAGCCACGGCUAACUACGUG